CAUGCAAGUCGAACGGUAACAGGAAGCAGCUUGCUGCUUUGCUGACGAGUGGCGGACGGGUGAGUAAUGUCUGGGAAACUGCCUGAUGGAGGGGGAUAACUACUGGAAACGGUGGCUAAUACCGCAUAACGUCGCAAGACCAAAGAGGGGGACCUUCGGGCCUCUUGCCAUCAGAUGUGCCCAGAUGGGAUUAGCUUGUUGGUGAGGUAACGGCUCACCAAGGCGACGAUCCCUAGCUGGUCUGAGAGGAUGACCAGCCACACUGGAACUGAGACACGGUCCAGACUCCUACGGGAGGCAGCAGUGGGGAAUAUUGCACAAUGGGCGCAAGCCUGAUGCAGCCAUGCCGCGUGUAUGAAGAAGGCCUUCGGGUUGUAAAGUACUUUCAGCGGGGAGG
RNAcentral lists this ribosomal RNA (397 nucleotides) under Salmonella enterica subsp. enterica serovar Poona. RNAcentral's name for it is "bacterial SSU rRNA". It matches the Rfam family "Bacterial small subunit ribosomal RNA", at positions 54 to 447 of the family's 1533-position model. The record is from RNAcentral. Lineage: Bacteria; Pseudomonadati; Pseudomonadota; Gammaproteobacteria; Enterobacterales; Enterobacteriaceae.